GAGGCUAUAGCUCAAGUGAUAGAGCACAUGCUUAGCAUGCAUGAGGUCCUGGGUUCAAUUUCCAGUAUCCCCU
Molecule: transfer RNA, 73 nt
Filed under: Camelus bactrianus (Bactrian camel)
Lineage: Eukaryota; Metazoa; Chordata; Mammalia; Artiodactyla; Camelidae
Also listed under: 2 other names
Rfam family: tRNA
About the family: Transfer RNA (tRNA) molecules are approximately 80 nucleotides in length. Their secondary structure includes four short double-helical elements and three loops (D, anti-codon, and T loops).
Source: Rfam by way of RNAcentral